This 320-nucleotide ribosomal RNA is filed under the name uncultured bacterium. Its description in RNAcentral is "bacterial SSU rRNA". It matches the Rfam family "Bacterial small subunit ribosomal RNA", at positions 29 to 377 of the family's 1533-position model. The record is from RNAcentral.
AACGAACGCUGGCGGCAGGCCUAAUACAUGCAAGUCGAACGGGCGUAGCAAUACGUCAGUGGCGGACGGGUGAGUAACACGUGGGAACAUGCCUUUCGGUUCGGAAUAACGCAGGGAAACUUGCGCUAAUACCGGAUGACCCGGCGACGGAAAGAUUAUCGCCGAAGAUUGGCCCGCGUAGGAUUAGCUAGUUGGUGAGGUAACGGCCCACCAAGGCGACGAUCCUUAGCUGGUUUGAGAGAACGAUCAGCCACACUGGGACUGAGACACGGCCCAGACUCCUACGGGAGGCAGCAGUAGGGAAUCUUGGACAAUGGGGG